This 77-nucleotide transfer RNA is filed under the name Aliarcobacter butzleri. RNAcentral describes it as "tRNA-Arg". It matches the Rfam family "tRNA". From Rfam's summary of the family: Transfer RNA (tRNA) molecules are approximately 80 nucleotides in length. Their secondary structure includes four short double-helical elements and three loops (D, anti-codon, and T loops). RNAcentral also lists the same sequence under 1 other name. The record is from RNAcentral. Lineage: Bacteria; Pseudomonadati; Campylobacterota; Epsilonproteobacteria; Campylobacterales; Arcobacteraceae.
GCGUCUGUAGUUCAACUGGAUAGAAUAACCGGUUUCGACCCGGUGGGUUGUGGGUUCGAAUCCUACCAGGCGUACCA